Molecule: ribosomal RNA, 440 nt
Filed under: uncultured bacterium
Lineage: Bacteria
Description: partial 16S ribosomal RNA
Rfam family: Bacterial small subunit ribosomal RNA
Source: RNAcentral
CCUACGGGGGGCAGCAGUGGGGAAUAUUGCACAAUGGGGGAAACCCUGAUGCAGCGACGCCGCGUGAGUGAAGAAGUAUUUCGGUAUGUAAAGCUCUAUCAGCAGGGGAGAAAAUGACUGUACCUGAUUAAGAAGCCCCGGCUAACUACGUGACAGCAGCCGCUGUAAUACGUCGGGGGCAAUCGUUAUCCGGAUUUACUGGGUGUAAAGGGAGCGUAGUCGGCUGCGCAAGUCUGUAGUGAAAUGCCGGGCAUUAACCCCGGAACUGCUUUGGAAACUGUGCAGCUUGAGUGCAGGAGAGGUAAGUGGAAUUCGUAGUGUAGCGGUGAAAUGCGGAGAUAUUAGGAGGAACACCAGGGGCGAAGGCGGCUUACUGGACUGUAACUGACGUUGAGGCUCGAAAGCGUGGGGAGCAAACAGGAUUAGAUACCCGAGUAGUC